Molecule: long non-coding RNA, 1271 nt
Filed under: Homo sapiens (human)
Lineage: Eukaryota; Metazoa; Chordata; Mammalia; Primates; Hominidae
Description: HSALNT0109827
Source: RNAcentral
UGAGGAAGAGCGGGGCAUGCAGACCCAGGAACUAACGCCUGCAACUUGAAGCCUGUGACAAAAGAAGUCCCCAGGACUCCAGCCCCAGGGAAGCAGAUCUUCUCCUAGGUGUGAGAAUCAAGACAAUCUACUCCACACUCAGCCUGGGCACCAGAUCCCUUCUGGAGCUGGUCCUAAUUGCUUUUCACAGAGGAUGCAAACUGGAAAGUUCCUACCUAUUCAGCGAAGGCACUCCAAGUCCUGGGCUCUUUUCUCCUCGGGGGCAAAGAUGAGACUUCUCUUCUGUAGAGAUCACAGGUGCAUCUGUACAGGUUGGAGUGCUCCCCCAACCCUGGACCCCUAGGAGCAGCCGUGAUUUGUGACACAAGGCCCCACCCGUUGAUCUACUCUUCACACAGCCGUGGAGAGCCAAGAACUGGGAGGGAGGUGAGUCAGUGAUGAAUUUUUCUUGAACAGCAAAGACCAAUUGGUGGUUCGCCUUUUUAGUAAAUUCCAAGAUUCUGGAGUCAUUUAAGUCCAAAGGGGAAAUUUGUGAGACUGGGGGAAGGGGAAGUAGUGAGAAAAUAGAAGCAACAAAAAUAUGCCUCCAGUGUUCUCACUGCUCAUUAGACCAGCACAGAGCCAGUUCUUGUAUGGCCUGAAUAACUGGUACUUUUUAUAAGCAACUGAAGAGCUAUAAAAAGCUUAACAUUUAAGAAAACAACAAACAGCUGUGGCUAGUGAGCAAGGAAAAUCUGAAGAGUGAGCCUGUCUGGGUGGCAGGAGGUCACACUGCUUCAUGAGGAAGUACUAAAACAUCACUAACAUUUGCUACAUCAGUGUGUUUCCCUGGUUGGUCACACUUCUCCUUCCCCCCACCUCAGCCCCACUCUCCUAUCAAAAUAGAAGAACAAAUAUACGUCACCAGAAUGCUCAGCAAUUAUUUCCUGAAAACAGCAUUUCUUUUACAUGCGCUUAAUCAUGUGUUAAGCAGCGGUACACACGAGGGGAUCCUGAUCAACAGAGUGAGCAAACACCCAUGUGUGAGUUUGGUUCCCAAUGCAUUUGGGCUGAGCCUCACUGACCCGGGACCCCUGGGCUUAGUUCACGUGCACCUUGAGGUUCUGCACAGCUGCCUUUCCCUUUAACGGAAAAUGCCAUCUGCAGGACCAGAGCUAGCAACAGGCAGCAAUAGCUCUCCCAACUUCCUCUCAUACUAAUCCAUAAUAAGCUCAAUGAUAAGGCAAUUACCAGUGGGAGGCAGUAAGGUAAAGUGAUCAAAUAUAUCGGCU